CUAUCUAACGCAUAAUGUUUAAUACCUUCUUCUCUCUCUACCUUAUGCUUCCAUAUUGUAAUAGAAAUACAGUCAUAAUGUUCUUUGUGAAGAAAUCUCUCUGGUGAAGCUCGUUGGGCUUUCGACAACAAAUUUCUUGGGCAUUGAUAUCUUUUACGUAAGUUGAAGCUCUACUGGUCUUUCGACAACAAAUUCUUGGAUGUAAAGGUGAAUAAAUUUUAUGUUUUCUCUGCUAGUUAAUGAUUUCUAAGUCCCCGUUGAAUGAUUUUUGAAAAAUUGUAAAGAAUGAUAUAUGGGUUUGUCCUAAAUAUAUAUUAUUUGUUUUAAUAUAGGUCUGUCACAUAAUCUAGGAUUAUAGUUUGUAUUUCCUGUUUGGUGAAGAUUUGCGAACUGUUAAGCAAUUGUCUUUGAGAGGGUGAAUUUCAGUUUUAUGAGAGAAAUUUCUAUUGUAGUUUUCCCCCUUCAAAAUCACACAGGGCAUAUCUCAGGUAAAAAGAAGUCUAAGAUACUUGUCAUCCUUUUCUAUACAAAAACUGAUAUGAUGGACUGAUCAGAUUUGAAAAACUCAAGUUACAAAUCCACUAAAGAGGAUUGUCCAAAUUUGUUUGUUUUCACAAUCACCCAAAAAGAGACCAAAAUGAAUUUUUACAUUUAAAAAAAUACAGAGAGUUUCUUGACAAUCGAGACUGUCAUCACAAUCAACGUCCAAAGGGCCAACUUUGUUUAUCGAUGCUGAACGAGAUGAAUGGGACAAUGCAUAAGUUAUUACUAUAAGUGUUUUACUUGAAUGGGACAAUCUGUUACUUGUGACUUAUUAAGAAUGAUUAUGAUUUUCCUUAAGUUACCAUAAGAUUUGCUGUUAAAGCUUACUUGUUAUUGAAACUUUUUUAAGUUAUGCUGAUUUCAUGUGUGUCAAUUUGUAGAAUUUGAACAUUUACUAAUCAUGUCACAUAUCUGUGUAAAUGAAAAUUUAGAUACUUAAUGAUGUAGCAAAAUUACUAGUCAAUGGGCGAGUUGAUUACUUUGCUUAAGAAGUAGCAACACAUCAAUCUGAAAAAGCUCUCAGUACUUGUAAUAGUUGGAUUGGUGUUUCGACGGUAAGUCAAAAUCAUACUAGUGCAUAUUAUAAAAUUGUGAAUUCUUUUUAUCGUAGUAGAGAAUAAAGAGAUUGUGUCUUCCCAUCCUCAAUUUUUCUGAAAUUUCUAGUAUUAAUUGGGGUAUAUUUUGUUCUUCAUAUUAUUUGUUUGAGAUGUGCCUUAUUUUUAUUGAAGUAGAUUAAGUAAAAAGUGUUGAUUGGUGCUAUCUUGUCCUCAAUACUUAAAGAAAAUAAAACUUGAAGUUGCAAUGAUAUGAUUUUUUCAUUUCCGUGUCAAAUAUGUUGGGCAAGAGUCUAGAGUAAUUAUUCCUACAAUUUGUUUGUUGACAAUCAAACCUGACAGUCCUAACUAGAUAGUGUAGAAUAUUGGAAAUAACAAAUGUAGUCUUAGGCCAACUUUUUUUGCCAAGUCGAGACUCGCCCGAUUCCUGAUGAUGCCCCUGUCUUUAUCACUACUUUUCAACUGAGGUCGUUCCAUGUCUCCAUUUUUAUUUGGUAUAUAUAGUAUAAUGUGAUAAUAUUAAUUUAGAAAGUUAUGUAGAAAAUAAGUAUGUUUUAUGAUAUUGUGGUAGUGUACCAAUAUUAUUGCGGGUUUGGUGAGAAUCCAAACCUUUUCUUUUAUGAUUGAUCAUAACUGUUUUUUUUGGUGUAUUUUGAUGAGAUUGUGAGAAAAUAGAAGGUGUUAUUAUUACUGUUAUUAAUAUAUGGUGUCAUCAGUAAUGCAAAUUAGUGAAGGUACAUGUUUCACUGGAAGAUUCUUCUUCCUCUAUAUAGAUUUGUCUAUGUACGUAUUAAUUGGAAGAAUUUUUAUGCUAGAGUCUAAGAGAAUUUCACUGAAUGUACUUCAUGUAUGUGUUUGAAUUUAUUCCGUCUACCUUUUGAUGUUAAUAUCCAUUUCAGGGGUAGCUACUUAGAUGAAGAUUCAGGUUACACUAUUUGUUCAUGAUUCUGUUGUAAUUUUGAUUGUAAGAGCAUGUGAUAUGUGAACUCUUCUAAUCAACAGUGUGUAUGUAUUAGUGCAAUCGUGACAUGUCCGAUUUCUUUAAUAGUCUAAACUCUAAAGAGAAUCAUAUAAAAAAAGUUCAGCUUAUACAACAAACAUUACACAUUUGGCCAAAAAAAUAAUACACAAUAUGAGGUAUUUGGUCUACUAUUACACAAUCUCUUGCGAAUUUAUUUAUUUUUCUAUUGCGACUCUUUUUUUUCUUGCUCUUAUUCUUCAUUUUCCUAUUGAUGGUGAUGUGGAGGAUUAAACCAAAGACCUUCCAUGAGUUACUACAGUUUAGUACAGUUUACGUUGGAUGUUCAGUGGAUGAUUUUCUUUGCUAGCUCAAUGAAGAUGUGGGCAUUGUGCAGAUUUUUUUUUUGAGCGAAUUAUGCUUAAUUUUACAGAUUAUUAUUGUGAUGUUUUUAGAGUACUAGCUAAAAUCUGCAGAAAUUUUUGAUUGUGUUGAAAUCUGCAAUUUAAUUUUGAAGUGUAAUGUAUUAAUUAUGGUGCUUAUUUAUGGUGAAAUUGUAUUAAAACAACACAACUUAAACCUAUCCAAAUAGAAUAGUCUGCUUGAAUAGGAUAAGGAUUCAAAUUUUCAUAGAGACCUCUAUGAUACCUCUCAGAGAAAGAAUCAGGGAGUAUGUUUGAUUCUUUUCAACUUUUUCUUCCUGAAAUUCGUCAGACCCAAUUUUUCUAAAACAAGGCUUCCGUUAGCCAAUAUGGACAGCUGCUGGUAGGUGUAAAUUGUUGUAGAAUGUCGGAGUUAUGACUCCAUUUAAAUAGGAAGUUAACCGUACAGUUUGCCUCUCUAUAUUUGUGAUUGCACUUGAAGAUUUUCAGUUGAUUUGUGAGCCUUUGAAGGUCCUGAAUACACUGUUGGUGUACCAAUGGAGGGUGGCUGUUGUGAGUCUAUACCCAUGUUGCAUGCCCUAGUCCAUCUUUAUCUCUUAUUAUUUCUUGUUUCUCCAUUGGAAGGUUGGAUUUAUCAAGCUCAUAAAUGAGUUGUAAAUGAUCAAUUAAUCAAGUAUCUUGCACUUCCAAACUAUUUGGUGUCAAUAUAUGACUAAAGCUAUUCCUCUAUAUUUUCAUCCAUUUAAUUUUAAUACUGGAAAUUCUCUAAAAGUUCUCCAACUCCUACAUGUAUUGCCAUAUAGACAUACAAGUUUCUACAAACUACAACAAUACAUCCAGUAUAAUCCGUUCUAGGGAGUGUAGGAGACAUACCUUACCCCUAUCUUUGUAGGGUAGAGAGGUUCUACUAAACUAAAAGUGUCCCCGACAGGCACCAUAUUUAAUGUAACAGUAAUAACAACAACUAAACCUUAAUUUGAACUAGCUGUCACUUUCCAUAUGGUUUUUUUGCUUCCAUUAUCUUCUAUUAUUAUCUAAAUCCGCAUUGGUUCAAUAAAUCAUAGGAUCUUUCAGAUAGCCUCCUUCUGUUUGAUUUUAUUUCUACCUUGUCCUCUUUAAGCACCUUAAACGAUCAUAAUGUCACACCUACAACAAACUUAUUCAACAUGGUCAAACCAUCUUCGGUGAUAGUUUUUCUCAUUUUUAUCAUUUAUGUCCAAUCUGAUGCAGUUGUUUCCAGAUUUGUCCAUUCUUGUUCAAAUGCAUAGCUUCUCAUGCAACCAUUCUGUAAAAUUUUCUUACUUUGUUAGGCACUGCAUUCAAUGAAAAUAUCUUUGUAUCUCUACCCACUGUUCUCACACUUGUAACUGCUCGUUUGGACUAUCCUUUAUCGUAUUAAUAUUUGAUAUGGAUUCUUUAUUUUCAAACUACUUUACUGGCAUUACCAUAUGCUUUCUAUAGUUCACUAAGUAUCAUGUACAUUACCUUCUCGCUGUAAGAAUUUCUACAAAUCCUAACAGAAGUCCUCUGUUUUUACAAGAAUACCAAUCAUGAACAUUACACGUACAUGAUGGUGACUAGUUUGGUAUUUCUUUUGUUCCUUUGUUCUCUGGUUUGGUAACAAAACUGAUAGAACUAGCUUAAGGUAGUUGUUCUGGUCGGAGAGGGAUGUAUGGUAUUCUUUACAUCGUUUCCAGUUGUGUUGAGAUGCAUGCAUUUAUUUUGGGAUUAUAGACUUCUAACUCCCCAGGUUGAAACUUCUGGCAGCAAGUUGCGGAAAAGUUUUAGAUUAGUCCAUGCUCCAUGUAUAUAGUUAAAUGAUUUUUGAGUUUAUUGAGUUUAUAUGUAUAUCUGACAUAUAAAGUAAUAACCUUGUAAUAUAUGACUACUGUGGAUCCAUAAAACUUUUGCGAAAAAAUUGGUAAUUUAUUUAUAUUUUUUCUAAUUGUAUGUAGGCGAUGAAACCGAAGAAGGCUAUCAAAGCAGUAAUGAAGACGUAACAUAGAAGCUAAGAUAUUGUCAAUGUUAACUUUACUGAUGUUUGUGUUUCACCUUUUUUUGAAUGGUAAAAAAGUACUUGUAUAUUUUUUUAGAGAAAAGACAUAAAGUGAUAAAAAGACACCUUAACUAUGCAGGUAUUCUAUUACCACCCUAAACAAUUUCGAACAUAUAUUAUUACAUCAUUUUUCGAUCAAUUUCAGACAUUAAAUGACAAGUCUUAUCACACACCAAACAUUAUGUGACAUGUGUUAAUUUAAUUUUGAAAUAUUUUUUUAAAUUUUAAGUUUUUUUAUUUCUCUUACUUUUUGACUUAUUUUUAAUGUUAUUACUUUGAUUUUAAUUUCAUUUCAGUUUUUUAUGCAUCUUCCACCUCUACUUUCAAGCUCCCUCCAUUUUCUUUCUUUCUGCUUCUACUUCACCUCUCACUGUCACCUUACCCCACCCCACAUCAAGUUGAGACCCUUCAUUUUCUCUCUUUUCUUCUUCAUAUUCGGUCAAAUUUCUUACUUUUCAAAAAUUAUAUUAUUUUCUAGAAUUUGUUGAGUUAUGGAUAACAAAACUACUUAUUUUUCUAAGAAAGAUCAAAAUUUUGAAGGUAUCAUCAUUUAAUUUAUUUCAUUUGCAUAUAAAUUCAAAACAUGAAGUGAUAAUUUUUAAAGUAUAAGAAUUCUCC
Molecule: long non-coding RNA, 5112 nt
Filed under: Solanum lycopersicum (tomato)
Lineage: Eukaryota; Viridiplantae; Streptophyta; Magnoliopsida; Solanales; Solanaceae
Description: long non-coding RNA (SLYC_LNC000777)
Source: RNAcentral